GCUAGACUUUGUUAGAAGGCAAAAGCCCAAUUAGAUUCUAAGUCUGAACUCCGUGACAUUGAAGAGGAGUCUUACGGGGAUGAUUCAGAGGAUCUUUCUGAUCCAGGCUCUGAUGACUACGAUGAGGAGACUGACCCCUAUCAGGAUAUAAUUCCCAUAUAGCCUUCUAAGGUGGUGACUGAUAAUAGGGCCUCAGGGGACACCCAUAGGAUAUUGG
This is a non-coding RNA of Pelobates cultripes (western spadefoot toad), 217 nucleotides long. Lineage: Eukaryota; Metazoa; Chordata; Amphibia; Anura; Pelobatidae. The record is from the annotation of a GenBank genome assembly.